AGACGUCACUAGGCGGUGCAUUUUCUUACUUUUAAAUAUAUUUUUAUACUAUUUCCCAUAUCAGAAAAAAAUUAUAAAAACACUGUGAAAUCAGCUCCUUCAGCACUUUCAGCUGAAGCAAUAAAAAAUUUGCAUGCAAAUUCUCCAUUAAUAUAAUUUGACUUUCAGGGAUUUUUUAAAGAAAAUAUCUCAUGAAUCUAUUCAAAUCAAAUUUGAUCAAAUUAUCGAUUGAUCAAUCGACAAUCAAAUUGUUCAAGGUAAAAAUGGAGAGACAUAUUUUCUUUGGAAUCGAUCCAACACACACUGAGGUCAGCACCGAAUAACAUUUAAGUCAUUGCCGAAUAACACUUAAGUCAUUGCCGACUAACACUUAAGUCAUUGCUGAAAAAGACUGUUGUCAGUGCAACAAACACUGAUAUCGGUCUUGAUCAGUGUCAACUCAGUGUUCAUAAGGACUAAUCUCAGAGCAACCACUGAUCAGACUAUGAUCAGUCUUCAUGAGCACUGAGCUGACACAGGUCUAGUUUUUCACUGACCCCAGUCUUUUCCGGCACUGACUUAAGUGUUAUUCGGUGCUGACCUCAGUGUCAGAUCUGUUCCAAAGUAGCGUGCCACUGCCAUUUUUACAAAAUUGCAGAUUCAUCUUUGACGGCGAGAGUAAAGGCAACACCUGAUACCGGCAGGUUCUCCUCUCUCGUCGGUUGGCGCGGGGCCAUCUGGCAGCCCCGCAACGGUGCGCGAUAGUACCCUCACCAGUCACCAGAAAAUCCAAUCAGCCGGAGUGUUCCAUCAUCGGCGCCUCAUAGACGAAUCUGGUGCCCCCACAACCAUGCGUCCUUUCCACAUUUUCUUCUUGGCUUGCGUGUGCUACGAAGCCGCAUCCACAAAUGCUGCAACACACUUGUCCAAGGAGACGUCAGGAAUGGGAGCGACCGAACCAAGAAGCUUCUUCCACAAUUUCCAUAUCAACUACCCUUAUCUAUGGAACACUUGGAGUCUGUUGCCAAACCGACCAAGAGGCCAGAGUGAAGAUCUCUCGAGCAGUCAGACCAACGUCAACAAUCUCGGCGCAGCCAGUAACGGACACUUGGGAAUCGGGCUAACCAUAGAUUACGGUAAACGCACAGAGGCCGGUCUAAGCCAAGCCGCCACGGACACGACCCAAGGAACAAUCAACGACUCAGACGCUCCCAUCUCCGUGACAGAAACAGGCGCGGGCGCGGGCUUAGAAGCGCCUUCAAAAACCAGAGCUACCACCACCGAGACACCAAACAACCUCAACAAAGAUUCAACUAACCCGCCGCCCAUCAUCAUCCUCGACGCUGCCACAUUUCUGGCGCUGAACCGCGAUCAGCUCCAAGCCCCUCAACCAACAGUGAACCUUCAUCAAACCGGCGUCGCCGCCAGCGAGAAAAUCGAACGCACCGAAUACCCGGAUCCACAAGUGUUGUCGCUUCCGAGUUCACCAUUUGUCUCCGAGUCGCGAGUCAAUUUCUCGUCGGGGAACCUCGUUUUCCAGGUUGAGACCAAGAACUACUCCUCCGAUCUAGGCCUGAGGACCGAAUCGAUUGCUAAACAUCCCGAGAGCACGGCUAAUUUCGACAUCAUCGCAGCGUCCUCCAACGUGGCGGCGAACUAUACCCCCUCGGAGAAUACCUCAAACAUAAACACGGUAAGCGACGUCUCGGUCUCGGAGAAUGACGUCACGGUGUCUUCAUCAACCACCAUAACCCCCGCGCUUAAAGAUGACGUCGCCAAGGAGUCAGAGACCACCAGCAAAAACGAGACCGGAGUGGAGAAAGAUCUUUCAGCUGGACCCGAAGAAGGAAAGAUGAAGAAGCCGUCUGUAUUGCCUACAUCAUCAACUAUAUCCCUGAUACCGACGAAGACGACGACCAAGACCUCGGAGCCACCGCUUCUGAUCCGGGCUCACUACUAUCCGGUCUCCGGGAACUUCUGGUACCCGCACAACGGACCGUACCACUCCUACACGACGGAGUACGCGCCGCCACCGCAAGCGUACCAGGAGCCGCAGGUGUACCAGAGCCCGCAGGUCUUCUUCACGAACGGCUACUCGGCGACGUCGCAGUACGACCGACCGGCGGAGCUCUACGGGAGGCCGCAGAAGCCGAUCUUCACGCCGGCCGCGGCAGCGCCGGCGGACGGCUACGGCGAGGCCUCCUUCUACAACUACAAGCCGGCGACGAAGCCGGUGUACCUGACCAAGGGCACGACCCCGUACCGGGGGGUGACCAUUUACCUGGAGUCGGAGCCGGAACCGACGACCCCGGUCCCGUCGACCGUGUUCUCGGCCAGCGAGGUGACGACCGAGAGGCCGAGCAUCAACUCCUGGUUCCGACCCCCGCAGUUCAUCAGCAAUAUCAUCAGCGUCCUCCACAAGGAUAACGUCGGGAAACCCAGGGAUAAGCCCAAGCCCACGCCUACGCCCAAGCCUCCCAGUCGAGCACUUCAUUGAACGAUUUUCAGACUAAAUAGACCUAGGGUACCUAUCGGUAGGCCCUGUCCACACGAGCGCAGUUCGCGGAACUUAUUCCUUGAAACGAGGCAUGCUGUCCACACGAGUUCACCCGAACUGAAAUCGGAACUUCAAUAAAACUAUACAAUUAUUGCAAAAUAAUAGAUCAUUUCGACCGCCAAAGUAACAAAAAUAAAAAUGUCAAGAUAUGUAAAGGACGUAAAAAACAAAAACAAGCAAAUUCACAUCAAAAGAAACAUAUAUUUAGAAGCUCGGAGUACGGGAAAAAUUUCGGGUUUUGGAGGAAUAAGUUUCAGCUCAGCUAAAAACUUGUUCCGGGAACCGAGCUCGUGUGGACAAGGCCGUAUAGCUUGACAGUUCAAGCUAAGGAAGAACGCCGCAUAGCCAUCGUCGGGCCGAUUAUUGGAAUUGAUAGACAAAGAAUCAAUAGGACGUAUUUCUAUCAAACGGACCUAAGCGCCAUAGGGUGAGGAAGGUAGAGGGGGGCUUGGAUUGGCGGCGGAAUCGGGCGUCCGGCUAAUUCCGUCCUAUACUCGCAAUGGCAUGGCGCUUAGGUCCGUUUGACAGAACGCGCUAUUCGGCAUUCUAAAUUCCUCAAAAGGAACUCAAAUUGGCGCUUAGUAUCGUUUGGUAGAAAUACGUCCAAUAGAUCAUGACAGAAUGAAUGGAUUUUGUUUAUCAGAAUUUGGUCCAUUUUGUCUCCCGCUCUCUAUCUCUAUUUCUGUAUACGACGCCGAUUUCACUCCAAAUUUUCCACAUGUUAAAAACGGAUUCAUGACUUCUUAAGAUACAGAUAUAUUUCAGUUAGGUAACAUAUUUUCAGAAAACUCAAAAUGUAAACCGAGAAGUUGACAGUUGCAUAUUGUGUUAUUUCAAGAGGAGUGAUAAAAGAGAAUUUUCUCCUAUUUCUCACAUGUCAAUUUUAUAAUUUUUUAUUGAACACUACAAUGAUAGUAGUACCUAUCGACCACGUUUAAUUGUUAUGACUUAGGAAAUACCGUGUUCUGCGCACAAAAAUAGCAAGUCUGGACACGAAUUCACUCAGGCCUAUUAUCUACUCAGGAGAUAAUCGACAAUCUAAGUCACUAUCAACUAUAAUAAGUUAUGUACAAUUUUCAACAUAUGUCUGUUAAUAUGUUUGUAGGUAAGCACAAAUAAAUUUUUUAACGUUCUUAAUAAAAAGUCGUCUUAUUAUUACUUGAUACAUAUUGGUAAGUAUGUUUGAAUGAUUUCUGACAAAUAUCGGAUUAAUUUCGGACUAGUUUACGACUCGUUCAAGAAUAUUCACGGUAAAUUUCAAAAGAAUGCUUUGAUCACUUGAUUUAAAAACAAAUGAAACAUAAACGGAAAUUUUUAAAUAUUGCAAUGGAAAUAUGCAUUUUUCGACUUUGACUAUCAAUACAUUAAAAAUUCAAAUAAUCGAUUCCUUAUGAACUGACCAAAUAUUCUCGACGUCAUCGAAGAACUGAUGAGUUCGGUUCGAUGCUCUCAAAAAUUCUCAAAAACUGAGUCCAGUGCUUGAUUAGUGAACUGUUAAUGAGAAAUUAAUCACUACUCUAUCGUCCAUCGUCUUCGCCUGUCGGCAAGCCAACUUUGUUACGACCCCCGAUUCGUGAGUCCACGUCCUAGACACAGGUAAGUUUUUUUCUCUAUUCCUGUAGAUUGUAACUCUUUAAAAAAGUGAAUAUUCAUUUUUCUUGCAUAUUUCCUCGCAGCUGUGUUCAUCAAGAUGAUCAUCAUAUUUUUAAAAAUGUCUUAAGAUGUAGGCUCACGCAAAAAUAACUCGCAUUUAACUGUAAUAUUGUGAGUAUUGCUUGAAAGAAAUUAAAAUUUUUAAUUGUUAGGUAAUAAUCAAGGUUGAAAACGUUAAAAUUCAUACAGUACGUAACUUCCAAAAAUGAGAAAUAUUGGGGAAUAUUGGGAAAUAAUUGAUCACAGAUUUACAAUGAAUCCACAUAUAAAGAUUUUUUCAGGCCGGAUUCACACGUAAAUUUUAAAUACAUUAAACUUUUAUUCGAAGAGGUCCUCCAUACAAUUUUCAGCAGGGAAUCUCUGAAAAAAUCCCAGAGUAUGUCAGAGCAUACUUCUCGGAAAAUUCUUGCAAAACAAACUUUAAAUAUCUUAUAGGCACUGUGGGGGGAGGGGGGGGGGAUCACACGGAUGAGAUGCCGUCCUCCCCCCCCCUGCUAAGCCCCG
Molecule: long non-coding RNA, 4693 nt
Filed under: Bemisia tabaci
Lineage: Eukaryota; Metazoa; Arthropoda; Insecta; Hemiptera; Aleyrodidae
Description: lncRNA ENSASIAIIG003372
Source: RNAcentral